RNAcentral lists this ribosomal RNA (500 nucleotides) under uncultured cyanobacterium. RNAcentral describes it as "bacterial SSU rRNA". It matches the Rfam family "Bacterial small subunit ribosomal RNA", at positions 356 to 869 of the family's 1533-position model. The record is from RNAcentral. Lineage: Bacteria; Bacillati; Cyanobacteriota.
GGGGAAUCUUCCGCAAUGGGCGCAAGCCUGACGGAGCAAUACCGCGUGAGGGAGGAAGGCUCUUGGGUCGUAAACCUCUUUUCUCAGGGAAGAACACAAUGACGGUACCUGAGGAAUCAGCAUCGGCUAACUCCGUGCCAGCAGCCGCGGUAAUACGGAGGAUGCAAGCGUUAUCCGGAAUGAUUGGGCGUAAAGCGUCCGUAGGUGGUUAUGUAAGUCUGUGGUUAAAGCGUGGGGCUCAACCCCAUAAGGGCCAUGGAAACUACAAGACUUGAGUGAAGUAGGGGUAGAGGGAAUUCCCAGUGUAGCGGUGAAAUGCGUAGAGAUUGGGAAGAACACCGGUGGCGAAAGCGCUCUACUGGACUUAAACUGACACUGAGGGACGAAAGCUAGGGGAGCGAAAGGGAUUAGAUACCCCUGUAGUCCUAGCCGUAAACGAUGGAUACUAGGUGUUGCCCGUAUCGACCCGGGCAGUGCCGUAGCUAACGCGUUAAGUAUCC